UACGUAGGGUGCGAGCGUUGCCCGGAUUUAUUGGGCGUAAAGGGCUCGUAGGCGGUUUGUCGCGUCGGGAGUGAAAACACACAGCUUAACUGUGUGCUUGCUUCCGAUACGGGCAGACUAGAGGUAUGCAGGGGAGAACGGAAUUCCUGGUGUAGCGGUGAAAUGCGCAGAUAUCAGGAGGAACACCGGUGGCGAAGGCGGUUCUCUGGGCAUUACCUGACGCUGAGGAGCGAAAGUGUGGGGAGCGAACAGG
This 253-nucleotide ribosomal RNA is filed under the name uncultured bacterium. RNAcentral's name for it is "partial 16S ribosomal RNA". It matches the Rfam family "Bacterial small subunit ribosomal RNA", at positions 524 to 776 of the family's 1533-position model. The record is from RNAcentral.